UGCCCUUUACUAAACUGUACAAGAUCCAGCGAUAUUCUAGGCUUGAUCCCUGUGGGACACCUUUCCCUACACCAUGUCCGGGAGCCAUAAUUCCAGGGAGUUUGUAACCCUCUAGAGCGGGCCUCUGUUGCUGUUUCUUAGCAACAGACGAACUGGAAAAUGACCAGUACAAAAUGCACAGACUUUAACUACUCUACCUCCAGCUUACAUUCUACCAGGCCCUUAGUCCCACAGACAGGAACCAAAGCCAGCAGAACAAAGCAGCCCCAGAUGUGUUCUACUCUAUUAUCUGAAGUAAAUGAAAAUCAACCCUGAGGUAUGUUUUUAUAUUCUGUCUACCAAAAUAAUGUGCAUUCUGUUUAUUGAACUGCUCUUAUUUCUUCCUUGCAAUCUGUUACUUUCAUUUUCAUUCCUGCCAAGAGAGAAAUAAAAAAGUUGCUCAUAAUUUCUAAGGCGAUUUAGACCUACUUUUUUGGCCUGUAAUGGAAAUCUGCGGUUUCUUUAGUCUGAUCCUAGGUAAAGCUGAUUUUAGUGAAGCCAGGGGUUUUUACACAUUAAAAAGAAAAAAAUGGAAUGGUGGAAUAAACUGAGUUAGGGAGUCCUGAGGUUUAUGUGGAUUCUCUUACCUAUGUAACCACUAGGCAUGCCAUGGUGGAUAGAAUAAUUCCCACCCCCACACGUCUUCCCUGACAAGAUGUCCAUAUCCUAAUCCUCAGAGCCUGUGACUAUGUCACCUUAUAAAGCAAAAGGUACUUUGCAUAUGUGAUUAAGUCAAGGACAUUGAUAUGCAAAGAUUAUCCUGAAUUCUGAGUGGGCCCAAUUUAAUCACAACAGUUCUUAUAAGGGAGAGUCAGGAGUGACAAAGUAAGAGAAGCAGGUCUGAUGAUGGAAGCCGAGGUCACAAUGAUGCCAAGAAGAGGCCAUGAACCAAGGAAGGCAGAGGGCCUCUGGAUGCUGCAAAAGGAAAGGAAAUAGACCUCUUGGAACCUCUAGAAGGAAAGCAGCCAUGCUGACACUUAGAUAUUUGGAAUUCUGAUCUCUAGAUCUAUAAGCUAAAAAAAUUCUGUUUUUUUUUAAGUCACUAAGAUUAUAACAAUUUGUCACAGCAGCAGUAGGAUACUAAUUCAGUAUGUCAAGUAGCUUUCCUAACCCAAAUUCUGAGACAUCUCAGGGACCUGGGUAUGGACUAAAUGUUUGCGUCUUUCUAAAAUUCAUAUGUUGAAGCUCUAACCUCCACUGUGAUGGUUUUUAGGGCCUUUGGGAGGUAAUUCUAUUUAGAUAAGACAUUGAUAUGGGCCCUCCAAGGUGAGAUUAGUAUCCUUAUUAAGAGAAAGAGACCAGAGCUUCCUCUCUACCAUGUGAGGAUACAUCAAAAAGAUAACCGUCUGCAAGUCAGGAAGCGGGACUUUACCAAGAACUGGAUCUGCCUGUAUCUUGAUCUUGGACUUCUCAGUUUCCAGAACUGUAAGAAAUUGAUUUGUGUUGUUUAAGCCACCCAGUCUAUGGUAUUUUGUUAUAGCAGUCUGAGCUGACAAAGCAGACCUAGAAGUUACAUUUCUAUGUUAAUCUUUCAGAAAUAUCAAUAAUAGUGGAAAGUCUCCCACUCUACUUCUACAUAUAUCCUAGUACUGUGUGUGUCAAUCUCAUAUUCUACUGUUGGCCAUGCUGUGUUUCACUGAGAAAAUGGCAAUACUGGUGCUGCUUAUAUAUAAGGUAGGAUUCCCCUCUCACAGAUAGCCACAGCUUUCUUUAAAAGAAGGUACAUUUCCCGAGGAUUAAUCAUUAGGGAAAUUAUUGGUUUCUCCAUUAGCCAGAGUUGUGCAUCACCAGCAACAGAAACCAGCUAUAGCUGACUUAAAGGGAAAAGAAACAUAAAUAUUGGAUAGCUCACAAUAUCAUAAAGAUGACUGAAGAGAUGGUGAGAGAAACAUAAACUAUUUGUAAAUUCUACUCAUUUCCUCCAUAAAAGGGAAUGCAAAAUGUCAUUGAUUUGGGUUAGUUGUACUUCCUAUAUUACAUAAGUAUCACGAUUUGGGGUGACUUUUUACAAGGAGAUAGCAUUAUUUAAUCGUUUUUGAUUUGGGGAGUUAAAAAAGUAUCUUUGCUUUUUGUGCUGGUAGGUGCAUUAUAGGGUCUAAAGUUUUUUUCCUACCUUCCUUCUCACAGGUAGAGAACCUCCUUCUACUACCAUCAAAGUCCUUGAUCUGUUUCCCAACAUGAAUUAACCUUUCCAUGUUUUCGUUACAUUUGAACAUCAGGAAUGUGUAGACGGAAGCAGUUCAUCCUGGGAGGACUUCAAGCAGUAGAAUGAGGCCAACCUGCAAAACUGACCUGUCAUGCCCUGCCUCACCAUCUUAUCCAGUCCUGGACUCAACCAGCUGAACUAAUCCCUAAACCACCAAGUCUACCUUAGAAAAACAGUUCUGGAGGCUGCAAGUCCAAGAUCAAGGUGUCACCAUCAUUGGUUGCUUCUGGGGGCUGUUGAGAAAGAACGUGUUCCAUGCCUCCCACCUAGCAUCUAAAGAAGUGACAUCUUAUUGAUGAGUUGUGGAGAAGCUGCUGAACAUGCAUCUGUAUUUGGGAG
This 2584-nucleotide long non-coding RNA is filed under the name Homo sapiens (human). Its description in RNAcentral is "HSALNT0323091". Lineage: Eukaryota; Metazoa; Chordata; Mammalia; Primates; Hominidae. The record is from RNAcentral.